CUGGGUUUAUAAUACUUUUCACACAAACAAUGCAGAGAAAACAAAACACUUAAUCCUCCAGUCCCCUUGAUAAGUACAGGAAUACAACAACUGGCCUCCAGGGGCUGGCAUCGAGUGAACAGGCAGGAACAGUUACUGACCGGAGGAGGACGAGGAGGUGAAGGCAAGGUGCAGUUUCACUCAGGCCUGACGGUGGUGGCACCACAGAUGCUGGUUCCUUGCUGGUUCAAUUCUGUUCUCUCGGGAAAAAACCAUGCAGUGAUGUCUGGGUAUAGUUUCUCCUUACCACAGAUGAUACAGGGUAACACUGGACGGCACUCUGACUAGCCGCUGCAACCUUUGUGUUCCUGUCCUACGUUCCCAUCCUGUGCCUCCUUGAAGAAAUCCCCUUUUCACUUCCUGCGUACGGAAGCUCUUCAGUUGCUCUUCAUCCUUCCCUGGCCUUCAAUUCCAUCUCUUGCUCCACACUCCGUUAUCUUCACUCUUGUUUCCACCGCUAGCACGUGGCGCUUCAGAGAAGUGCCAGCUACUUGCUUCCACGCACCCUGGACUUGAGAUGCACUAUGACUAUCCUCUCUACUGUAAAGUACACAGACGCACAGCCACGUGGAGAAGAUGCACGCACGUGACGGUUUACUGCAGACACGUGACCUUACCUGAUGGGACAUCCCAACUGGCAGAAGUUCGAGUAUAGGGGACUUAAACUGUAUGUGAAAUGACAGCCGCCUCCCAUAUACAAACCCAAAAUUCUAGUCCCUUUCCUACAGUCAGAUUUAUGCGAGUCUCACCUAUUGGUAAGAAAAGAAGGGAUUGGGUAGACGAUAGUAAAAUGAGUAAGAGGAGGACACUUACCAAUGCAGCCUUGUUGCGUGCUUAGUCACUCAGUCGGGUCUGACUCUGCAACCCUCUGGACUGCAGCCUGCCAGGCUCCUCACGGAUAGAGAUUCUCCAGGCAAGAAUACUGAAGUGGGUUGCCAUUUCCUCCUCCAGGGGUCUUCCUGACCCAGGGAUCCAACCCACAUCUCUCAUGUCUCCUGCACUGACAGGUGGGUUCUUUAUAAGUGCUACCCAGGAAAUUUGGACACAGAAUUGAGACGUGUUUAAGAAACUCCUGGGACCAAGGUGGGGCUCUGGCAGAGGCAAAGUCUUGUUGAUUGUCCAAAGGCCCUUUUUUCUGCCACAAAAAACGAGUGUUUCCUCGCAACUGCAGGGGAAAGAGAAAGAUAAAUAGAAAUUAAGCACCCACUGUGAGGCCACCGACCCUCUAGUGCAGGGUCUUGCUGUGGAGAGGGUCAGUGAGUGUAUUCUGUGUUUACACAGACGAGCACAUGGACAACUCUGAAGGGGAGCAGCCAGGGGGUUCUCAGCCGGGACUUCUAUCCACCGGUGCCUCCAAACAGCCCUGAGGCUCAGAGAAAGGAUUGUACGCGGUUAUGAGAUCAGCUCCUCUUAAACACCUUCUUUCUGUUUCAGGCUUGAAAAACACCUCGCCCAGUUUUGAGCCCUUCAAGACUUUGCCACAGCCUCUAUCACACAUCUGUUUUUCUCGAAGAAAAAAAUAUAUAAUAAAAAAUGUUUUACUCUUUUACACUGUAUAAUUGUAAGAAAUAGUGUGUUAUUUGUGAACGCAUGGUCUGCCAUUUCUGUACAGUUUGGAGAUAUUUUCAAAUGAAACAUAAAAGAUGUCAACGAUAAAACCAAGAGAGUGAGUAUUUUUAUACCAAACAUUUUAAGUGUGACAGGAUGGAUGAUCUUACACUGGGUUGGAUCACACAUUUUGUGCUCGACUUUUGAAUGCUUGUAAUUUAAAAUAUAUAUAUAUAUUUUUCCUCUAAAAUAAGCUGCAUGUUUGAGGCAUGGUUUAAAAUAUUAUCAGAAUUUCCAGGAUCAUAUGGUGAAUGUAUAGAAAUCUGUUUACCUGGCCUGGGCCCAUGAGUAACGCGGUGACAGGUUAGAACUGCUGGUGCGGUACUUGAGGUUUGCUUCCAAGUCUGCUAGGACGUCCUGCAAGACAAUCAGAGCCUCCGGGAGCUUCCAGUGUGAUGGCGGAUUCCCGGCUGGGCAAAGCAGCCUGUGCUUGGUGCAGAUUCCUCAUUGAGGUGCACCUGUAACAUGCCCGCAGCUCCAGAGGUGACUAUACAAACUGUCAAGUUCUGGGUCUUGCCUUUUUCUUCUAACAGCAGGCUCCUGCGUGAGCCCCGCUGAUGCACAACACCCUCAGUGGACGUGCUGAGUCUAAAGGGGAAGCCUCCGCUUGGGAGCCCAGCCCUGCCAACGUGGCCGCAGCGCGCCCAGCGAUUUGCAGAACAUCAGUUGAACUGAGCUGGUGUUCCUGAGUCUUGGCGGCACCAGGCCAGACGAACCAUUUAAAAACCUGACCUUGAAUCCCGCUGUAUUCGCUGGGACAGUGACACAUUGGCCUGGGGGAAGAUGCGUGAGCAAUGAGGAGAGGUCAGCUUGCUUCAAGACUCCCUCCACACCCAGGUCAGUCCUGUGUGGGAAACUGACACUUCCAGGGUCACCUCAUACUCUCCCCACUGUGGAAGAGCAGCUGUGUGUAAACAUACAUUGACCUACAAAUUUUUAACUGCUGACAUAUUAAACAUGACCACAAGCUCUCUUAUUGAUCUGCUCACAGUGCGCUGAAGAUUUUGAUGUUCUAAUGAUUAUAUGGCUGGUGUUCGGUUUUUAGUUUCAUUAUUUUCUAUUAGAAAUCAAGGUGUCAAGACGCUUUUAAAGGUCAUCACAAAACAAACGAGAGCCAAGGGUGAGAGGCUCUUACACUUAGGAGAAAUGCUUGAGGGGUGUCCCCGGUGUACCCAAGCGCUACUGAGGCCUCCAGCACCACCUGGUUCGUGGUGACAGUUCUAGACUCUUGCUUUUAUCAACUGUUUAAAGGUACUUUUCUAUUGUCAUUUUUAAAAAUAAAGUGCUAAUUCCAGCUGUCACACCACUGCUUGGCAAAUUCCUUCUUGCAAGACCAACCAAGUACACCUGAUACUGCAAUCCAGGAAGUGGCAGAUUUUGUUCCCAUUUUCAGGUCUGGAUGGAGCAACCAAGGGAGGGAUGGGAGAGCCUAUGCAAAUGCUCUACUGUGGGUGCCUGGUGCUCCGCAGGGACCCCACAGGCGGUUCACGGGGGAGACACAUACCUCUCUCUCGAUGUCUUUUCACUGCACUCAGCAGACUGCACAUCCACCUCAGCCUAUGAAGACUCUGCAACCUACAUUCGUGGUUUUCUACUAACUUAUUAGAGUAAGAAAUACAUUCUAUUAAGUGGUAAGACAGGCAUUGAUAGCCAAGCAAUAGAAAUGCUCUACCUAUGUAACACUCUCACCAAGUCCUCUGUCCCCAGAAGGGGGUGGGAGGUCACAGCGCUCAAUUCCAAGUGAGGGCAACAACCACUAACAGCUACUCGUCUUGCUGGGCACGGACAUUCUGGGUUCUGUUGGAUCACACAUACCUUCUGCAGAGGAGACCAGCCACCCAAAGUGGGUCCCAGCCACAGCCUGCCAGAACCCUGGAGCCAGGGCUGAAGGCAGACAAUGACUGCACAGCUCUGCCGCCCUGCCCAGGCUCUGAAGCCCACAGCCAUCAAGGCUCAGGGGUCGUAGCUCUGGGACAGGCUCGAUCACGCGGCUUCACCUUCAGCCCAUCUGGGACUUUCCCACUCACUCCAAGGCACCAGGUUCAAGCCAGGAGGCACAGAUCUGAGGGUGCCUCCUUGGAGGGGCUGAACACCAUCACUGCUGUGUGCUUUUUCAUAAAAUGAGGGCCUGGUCACCAUCACUGUGCAAGGGACAAAUGUGUAGAGAGUACCUGCCCGUCUAGUGUGAACUCCAGGCACAACCCACUGUCUGGUCGCUUGAACACCAGCUUCAUUUCCUGUCACUCCACUGAGCAGAAACACAGUAUAUCUUCUGGAACUGGGAACUUGGGAUAAGAAAAGGGCAGGUCUGUCUGUUCCCUCUGCUUACACACUUAAUGUCCCAGUUUGUAGGAUCCAGAAAAACAAUAACUAGGCCAUUUUUUGUUAUUGAGUAAAUCCUACCUUGGGGGUAAAGAUCUGCCACUUCUGAACACAGGACUAAUGCAGCUAUAAUAUAAAACCACCAUUUAGUACUGAAAUUAAGAACUGUGCCUUCUAACAAAAUUACAAAGUAAAGGAAUCUGGAAAAGAACCUUAAAACUUGCAAAAUGUGCAUUAUACUUACAGUGUAAUCAUAUGUGUGCGCUUUAAAUUCACUGGACCCACCACCUGAAUAUAUGUCGCUGACCCACUUUCACCGAGAAAGCAUGGCGGACGCCCCAACAAUUCUUGGGGUCUGUGUCACAAUGACAUAUAGGAAUCAACUGAUUCUCAAGUGUUUCAGGUAGGAGUGCUUAGCUCUAGGAGUGCGAGCUGAUUCCCUACUGUCUCCCCAUCCAUCACUGGGACGUCCAACUGUUAGGGGACAAGCGUGUUCGAGUAUCAGCACAGGGUCGCUCUCUUGCUCUUCAACUGGUCCCCCUGUUCUGUCACACCUGAUGACAUCAAACAAUUGUCCAACAUUCUGAGAAGGCAGAAGAGUAUCUGCUACUAAUGACAUUAUCUGUAACACUGGUCUUCACAAUGCCUACACCACAACUCAUGACUUGGAUACUGAAAAAACCACAUGCCGUCAACCAACAGAUAAGCCUCUCUAAGCAGGGAAACAUUUACCUGCCACAGUGAAGCUCCGUCACCACUGCAAACCGUCCUGGGUGGCACUCAACUCCCCAAGACUGGCCUGGCUCUGUAUGACCCCAAGCCCCAGAUGCCAAUAUGCUGUGAGAAACCUUGGCUGGUUUCCUCCUUUUUGCAGCUCUCCAGCGACCCACGGGUGCUGAUUCACCCGGACUUCCAUGGUACAAACCACACUUUCCUGCUUUGUGAGUGGAAAAGGGCCCUGGGCCCAUGAACCAUUACAACAGGCCCAUAAAUCAAGACCACAGGGAAGCCUGUUCCCCACUGCUCACAUAUACUGCUCAUUUCAAGUUUAACUCUCUUGCCAUGCUAAUUAACAAUAAACAGAAAUUUAAUCAUGUUAGAUGCUUAAAUUCAACCCAAACUUGUCUUUGGAGUUAAAAGACACACCUACAUGGAAUAGGAAAUAAUGCUCAGGUUAAAAUAUUAGUAUUUACCUGGACAAAAGAGUACUUUUUCCUUAAAACUAGGAUGCAGAAAAGUUCAAAGCUUCUUGACACUCCCAUGCAAGAUAAAACCUGGUCUUGGAGUUUCUGGAGAUGGGCCUGCCAAGGUCAGGCUGUGAUUUACUCCAUAAGGUAAGUUGGCCCUGAAGGUCUUUGGAGCCCUGCACAGUUCUGGGUGGUGGCAAGUCAGUGUGUUCUCACAGGGUCUUGAACCCACAUGGUUUGAGUCACAGGAACAUGCUGGCCCAUCUCCAAACGAGGAGAGCUAGGUGAGUGUCCCAGGCCUGUUUCCAAAGGUCCAUGGUAGCAGCCUUGCCACUUGGCCUGCAAGCACCAGCAGGUCUUUCCAGUGGAAGCCCCACUAAGAAGGGAAAUGUGCUUUUGUUUCUUGAGCUAUGGCCAGAAGGAAGGGCAACAGCAUGAUGUCAGGGCCUAUUCCAGCUCUGCGCUUCCCAAGUGCUCACUCAACACCAUGCUCACAGGGCAGGGACGGGGGUUCCAAGGUCCAGCUCACCUAAGAAGUGGUUUCCAAGAGGUCCUUUGAUUCCAAGAGGUUCUCCCCCACAGAACACCCAUUCUCUCGGGAAAAGCCCACAAAACACGCCCGGGGAAAGGGUGGACUGUUCUGCAUGAAGCCCCAAGGGUGGCAUCACGUGAUGAAGGUCAUCACGCUGUCUCCACACACAGCACCCCAGCCUUGCCACACGGCAGCAGUAUGGACCUGGCUUGUUAAGGACAGUCAUGAACACCUUAAACAAAAAUCACCCGCCAAUGAAUCAUUUUUGCAAGUAAAAGCAGCAGCUAGAAGGAAGAGGGGACAUCAAAUCUCAUUUCCCAUGCUUCAGAAAACCAUUGUUAGCUGCUAAGAACUGGGGAGUUUAUAAAUCCAAAUACCCUAUCCCCACACCCAAAAUGUAUUUUCUGCUGGUGACUUCAAACACCCCAUCACAGAAGAACCCAGGGCUGUAUGUCUGCGGUGCCCUUGCUACAAACCAUGGACCGAGCAGGAACGGGAAGCAGCUGCCCUGCCUUCUCGCUCAGGCACGGCUUCACACGUAUCAAGUGCUCCUCUGUCCCUCGAGUCCCACCAUCAUCUGACCACACUUACAGGAUGUGACAGCAGCGGCCAAGUAUUCAUAUUUUACACUUUGGGCUCAGAGACAUUCCUUUUAGCCAUCCCCUUAAAAGCCUCAGCUGACUGUGAUGAAUUAUAGAUCAAACACACUGAAGAUGGUCUUAAACUCUUAAUGCACCCAGACAAGCCCAUUCCAACCUGCUUCUUCUAAACUGCCCACAGACCCAGCAGAAACAGGCAGAGGUGAGACCAUGACUUUGACUUUAAUUUGAAUUUCUCGUGGAAAUGUUCCUAGGUGCCCAGAAUAACUGGUAAAGAACUUCUUUCUAUUACAACCUUCAAACACAACUGGGUUCCUAUCAAAAUUAGCCACAAAGACUAUCUCCCUUUCCACAUAUCAAAACAGCCAGAAAACAACAAAAUGGAAACAGUACCAUGUCCUCCCCUAUCAAUAAUUACCUUAAAUGUAAAUGGAUUAAAUUCUCCAAUAAAAAUACAUAGACUUGUUGAAUGGAUUAAAAAAAAAAACAAGAUCCUGCAUGCCACAACUAAGAUCCAGUGAAAAGUAUUAAAAAAAAAAAAAGAAAAGAUAACCUAUGGAAUCAAAAUGUUUGCAAACCAUUUAUCUUACAAUAAGAAGGGGGGUAAUAUGACCAUAAUACAUAAAGAACUCAUAAAACUCAGUAGCAAAAGACAACUCCACAAAUAAUCCAAUUAAAGGAUAGGCAAGGACCCAAACAGACCUGAAUAGACAUUCAUCCAAAUAAAAUACACACAUGACCAACAGGUACCUGAGAAGAUGCUCAACACCAUUCAUCAGUGAGGCAUCUCACUUUUACAUCUUCUCAUGAUGUAUUUUGGGGCUUGGGUAUAAGAAACAGGGAAGAUGACACUCAAAAUCAAUCAGAUAAAUACAAAGGAUAAAAAUUAAAACAACAAAAUGGCUCCUUG
This 7197-nucleotide long non-coding RNA is filed under the name Bos taurus (domestic cattle). RNAcentral's name for it is "long non-coding RNA NONBTAT030001". Lineage: Eukaryota; Metazoa; Chordata; Mammalia; Artiodactyla; Bovidae. The record is from RNAcentral.